AAUAGUCCUGUAUGUUAAACGAGAAGACUUCAGAUAUGAUCCAGAGUACCACGGGACACGUGAAACCCUGUGGGAAGCAGGAGGGACCACCCUCCAAGGCUAAAUACUACCUAGUGACCGAUAGCGUAUAGUACCGUGAGGGAAAGGUGAAAAGAACCCCGGGAGGGGAGUGAAAUAGAACCUGAAACCCUGCACUUACAAGCUGUGGAAGCACAUUUCUUGUGUGACCGCGUACUUUUUGUAGAACGGGCCAACGAGUUACGUUAAGUAGCAAGGUUAAGCACUUAAGGUGCGGAGCCGUAGCGAAAGCGAGUUUUAACUGAGCGUUCAGUUACUUGACGUAGACCCGAAACCGGGCGACCUACCCAUGAGCAGGAUGAAGCGAAAGUAAAAUUUCGUGGAGGUCCGAACCCACGAGCGUUGAAAAGCUCGGGGAUGACUUGUGGGUAGCGGUGAAAUUCCAAUCGAGCCCGGAGAUAGCUGGUUCUCCCCGAAAUAGCUUUAGGGCUAGCCUCAAGGUGAGAGAUACGGAGGUAGAGCACUGAAUGUCCUAGGGGGUAUUGCACCUACCGAAGACUAUCAAACUCCGAAUGCCGUCAUCUUAUACUUGGGAGUCAGACUGUGGGUGAUAAGAUUCAUAGUCGAAAGGGCAACAGCCCAGAUCGUCAGCUAAGGUCCCUAAAUGUAAGUUAAGUGGUAAAGGAUGUGGGAUUGCACAGACAACCAGGAUGUUGGCUUAGAAGCAGCCACUCAUUCAAAGAGUGCGUAAUAGCUCACUGGUCGAGUGAUCCUGCGCCGAAGAUUUCCGGGGCUAAAACUUACUACCGAAGCUACGGCAUCA
RNAcentral lists this ribosomal RNA (841 nucleotides) under Clostridioides difficile. Its description in RNAcentral is "partial 23S ribosomal RNA". It matches the Rfam family "Bacterial large subunit ribosomal RNA", at positions 366 to 1210 of the family's 2925-position model. The record is from RNAcentral. Lineage: Bacteria; Bacillati; Bacillota; Clostridia; Peptostreptococcales; Peptostreptococcaceae.